UUUGUUGUGCCAUAUCACCCUGCAGCCCAAGACCGGUUACUCGCUGAAACUAAGCAGGGCUGAGCCUGGUCAGUACCUGGAUAGGAGACCACUAGGGAACACUAGGUUGCUGUUGGAA
RNAcentral lists this ribosomal RNA (118 nucleotides) under Danio rerio (zebrafish). The record is from RNAcentral. Lineage: Eukaryota; Metazoa; Chordata; Actinopteri; Cypriniformes; Danionidae.